AUGAACGCUGGCGGCGUGCCUAAUACCUGCAGGUCGAGCGAACGGACGAGAAGCUUGCUUCUCUGAUGUUAGCGGCGGACGGGUGAGUAACACGUGGAUAACCUACCUAUAAGACUGGGAUAACUUCGGGAAACCGGAGCUAAUACCGGAUAAUAUUUUGAACCGCAUGGUUCAAAAGUGAAAGACGGUCUUGCUGUCACUUAUAGAUGGAUCCGCGCUGCAUUAGCUAGUUGGUAAGGUAACGGCUCACCAAGGCAACGAUGCAUAGCCGACCUGAGAGGGUGAUCGGCCACACUGGAACUGAGACACGGUCCAGACUCCUACGGGAGGCAGCAGUAGGGAAUCUUCCGCAAUGGGCGAAAGCCUGACGGAGCAACGCCGCGUGAGUGAUGAAGGUCUUCGGAUCGUAAAACUCUGUUAUUAGGGAAGAACAUAUGUGUAAGUAACUGUGCACAUCUUGACGGUACCUAAUCAGAAAGCCACGGCUAACUACGUG
This 496-nucleotide ribosomal RNA is filed under the name uncultured bacterium. RNAcentral's name for it is "partial 16S ribosomal RNA". It matches the Rfam family "Bacterial small subunit ribosomal RNA", at positions 29 to 507 of the family's 1533-position model. The record is from RNAcentral.